UAGGGAUAGAGGCGGCAUCUUUUUUGAUUUUCCCUGGACCGUGUUCGGGAAAGAAUCAAAAAUAUAUAGCCGAAAGCCCGACCUUUU
Molecule: small RNA, 87 nt
Filed under: Arenibacter algicola
Lineage: Bacteria; Pseudomonadati; Bacteroidota; Flavobacteriia; Flavobacteriales; Flavobacteriaceae
Description: Flavo-1 RNA
Source: RNAcentral